GACGAACGCUGGCGGCGUGCCUAAUACAUGCAAGUAGAACGCUGAAGGAAGGAGCUUGCUCUUUCUGGAUGAGUUGCGAACGGGUGAGUAACGCGUAGGUAACCUGCCUGGUAGCGGGGGAUAACUAUUGGAAACGAUAGCUAAUACCGCAUAAAAUGGAUUAUCGCAUGAUAAUUCAUUGAAAGGUGCAAAUGCAUCACUACCAGAUGGACCUGCGUUGUAUUAGCUAGUUGGUGGGGUAACGGCUCACCAAGGCGACGAUACAUAGCCGACCUGAGAGGGUGAUCGGCCACACUGGGACUGAGACACGGCCCAGACUCCUACGGGAGGCAGCAGUAGGGAAUCUUCGGCAAUGGACGGAAGUCUGACCGAGCAACGCCGCGUGAGUGAAGAAGGUUUUCGGAUCGUAAAGCUCUGUUGUAAGAGAAGAACGAGUGUGAGAGUGGAAAUUCCACACUGGACGGUAUCUACCAGAAAG
This 478-nucleotide ribosomal RNA is filed under the name Streptococcus sp. oral taxon 071. RNAcentral describes it as "bacterial SSU rRNA". It matches the Rfam family "Bacterial small subunit ribosomal RNA", at positions 28 to 490 of the family's 1533-position model. The record is from RNAcentral. Lineage: Bacteria; Bacillati; Bacillota; Bacilli; Lactobacillales; Streptococcaceae.